RNAcentral lists this ribosomal RNA (423 nucleotides) under uncultured bacterium. RNAcentral's name for it is "bacterial SSU rRNA". It matches the Rfam family "Bacterial small subunit ribosomal RNA", at positions 608 to 1030 of the family's 1533-position model. The record is from RNAcentral.
CUCAACCGUGGAGGGUCAUUGGAAACUGGAGAGCUUGAGUGCAGGAGAGGAAAGCGGAAUUCCAUGUGUAGCGGUGAAAUGCGUAGAGAUAUGGAAGAACACCAGUGGCGAAGGCGGCUUUCUGGCCUGCAACUGGCGCUGAGGCGCGAAAGCGUGGGGAGCGAACAGGAUUAGAUACCCUGGUAGUCCACGCCGUAAACGAUGAGUGCUAGGUGUUAGGGGUUUCGAUGCCCUUAGUGCCGCAGCUAACGCAUUAAGCACUCCGCCUGGGGAGUACGGCCGCAAGGCUGAAACUCAAAGGAAUUGACGGGGGCCCGCACAAGCAGUGGAGCAUGUGGUUUAAUUCGAAGCAACGCGAAGAACCUUACCAGGGCUUGACAUCCCGCUGACCGGUAUAGAGAUAUACCUUUUCUUCGGAACAGC